GUCUAUGGCCAUACACCCCUGAACACGUCUGAGCUCAUCUGAUCUCAGAAGCUAAGCAGGGUUGGGACUUGUUAGGACUUGUUUGGACUUGGAUGGGAGAAUUUGCCUUUGUUA
This 114-nucleotide ribosomal RNA is filed under the name Jaculus jaculus (lesser Egyptian jerboa). The record is from RNAcentral. Lineage: Eukaryota; Metazoa; Chordata; Mammalia; Rodentia; Dipodidae.